CAAUAGCGUAUAUUAAAGUUGUUGCAGUUAAAAAGUUCGUAGUUGGAUUUGUGGCGUACGGUGUGUUCCGGGCACUUGUUGUCUGAGUAACCUGCUGUUGCCAUCCUUGGGUGGAACCUGUGUGGCAUUAGGUUGUCAUGCAGGGGAUGCCCAUCAUUUACUGUGAAAAAAUUAGAGUGUUCAAAGCAGGCUUAUGCCGUUGAAUAUAUUAGCAUGGAAUAAUGAGAUAGGACUUUUUUGCUAUUUUGUUGGUUUGCGCAAAGAGGUAAUGAUUAAUAGGGACAGUUGGGGGUAUUCGUAUUCCAUUGUCAGAGGUGAAAUUCUUGGAUUUUUGGAAGACGAACUACUGCGAAAGCAUUUACCAAGGAUGUUUUCAUUAA
RNAcentral lists this ribosomal RNA (380 nucleotides) under uncultured eukaryote. RNAcentral's name for it is "partial 18S ribosomal RNA". It matches the Rfam family "Eukaryotic small subunit ribosomal RNA", at positions 592 to 976 of the family's 1831-position model. The record is from RNAcentral.